UAGACAUUAUUGUACUUGUAUUGAUCGUUUACUAGGUGCUGGGGGAAAAGAUUACUUCCCAGAUGCAGUAUUUACAUCUCCUCCGCCCUACUCUUCCAACCCUGCCUGAAAUAAGUGUGGUUCUCCUGUCUGUCAGACUAUGAAGAGUUCUCAAAUAUGUCUUUCCCAGCGAGGGAGAGGAGAAAACUUCAGCCUCCACGAUCGAUGUUUCUCAAGUGUCAAGGAAAAUGGAGCCUAGGAGGGCAGCCCCACAAGCAGCGUGAUGGGCAUUUAAGCCGACGCAUGUGCCAGGUCCUAGAACAGAGUAACUUCC
Molecule: long non-coding RNA, 313 nt
Filed under: Homo sapiens (human)
Lineage: Eukaryota; Metazoa; Chordata; Mammalia; Primates; Hominidae
Description: non-protein coding lnc-GDAP2-1:9
Source: RNAcentral